UCAGGCACCUGCAAACUCGGCCCUCCAGCUGUUUUGGGACUACAAUUACCUCAUCCUUGACCACUGGUCCUGUUAGCUAGGGAUGGUGGGAGUUGUAGUCCCAAAACAUCUGGAGGGCCGAGUUUGGGGGUGCCUGU
Molecule: non-coding RNA, 137 nt
Organism: Podarcis lilfordi (Lilford's wall lizard)
Lineage: Eukaryota; Metazoa; Chordata; Lepidosauria; Squamata; Lacertidae
Source: the annotation of a GenBank genome assembly